RNAcentral lists this ribosomal RNA (494 nucleotides) under uncultured bacterium. Its description in RNAcentral is "partial 16S ribosomal RNA". It matches the Rfam family "Bacterial small subunit ribosomal RNA", at positions 28 to 507 of the family's 1533-position model. The record is from RNAcentral.
GACGAACGCUGGCGGCGUGCCUAAUACAUGCAAGUAGAACGCUGAAGGAGGAGCUUGCUUCUCCGGAUGAGUUGCGAACGGGUGAGUAACGCGUAGGUAACCUGCCUGGUAGCGGGGGAUAACUAUUGGAAACGAUAGCUAAUACCGCAUAACAGUAGAUAUUGCAUGAUAUCUGCUUGAAAGGUGCAAUUGCAUCACUACCAGAUGGACCUGCGUUGUAUUAGCUAGUUGGUGGGGUAACGGCUCACCAAGGCGACGUUCCAUAGCCGACCUGAGAGGGAGACCGGCCAACCGGGGACUGAGACACGGCCCAGACUCCGUCGGGAGGAAGCAGUAGGGAAUGUUGGGCAAUGGGAGGAAGUCUGACCGAGCAACGCCGGGUGGAGGAUGAAGGUUUUCGGGUGGAAAAAUUCUUUUGGAAGGAAAGAAAGGGUGUGUACGGAGAAAGGCAAAACUUGGAGGUAUCUUAACCAGAAGGACCGGGUAACUAAGUG